UUAUAUAUGGUGUAAGGCACAUUAGAUUUUCAUUUUAAAGGAGUAUAUCAUUAUACUAUAUCAG
Molecule: transfer RNA, 64 nt
Filed under: Hirudo nipponia
Lineage: Eukaryota; Metazoa; Annelida; Clitellata; Hirudinida; Hirudinidae
Description: tRNA-Glu
Source: RNAcentral